This is a long non-coding RNA of Pollicipes pollicipes, 1301 nucleotides long. RefSeq lists it as uncharacterized. The transcript has 3 exons. NCBI's taxonomy places the organism in Eukaryota, Metazoa, Arthropoda, Thecostraca, Pollicipedomorpha, Pollicipedidae. The record is from RefSeq and is a predicted model, not a curated record.
CCGUAGCCUCACUGCUUUCAGUGCGGAAGCCCCAGCUGUGCAAAACGGAUGCUGACUGCCCACAAUACGCUCCCUACUGCGGAGAGGGCAAAUGCCGCCGGGUGAUAACACACUGCCGAUCCGGCGAAGAGGGCAUGGCUGGAUGCAAGAGGUGCAUCUGCGGCAAGGGCGUCUGGGCCUGCGUGUAUAAGAGCUGUCCGGAACCAUUCAAACAUGAUGGAGCGGUGCCGUGUCAGUGGGCGAAGGAUCUGAAGCUAUGCCGCGACUGAUCCUCGGUUCUGCCUCGGCCACUGCAGCUGGAAUUACAAGACAACAACCAACACGUUCAGAAGCAGCUUUAACCCUCGCCCUGACUCGCCCCACAUAAUAGCGCGGAACGAUAGAAAGUUUGAUACGACCCACCCCUCCGAUUUCCAAGCUAAGAAAGAUAGAGCCUCGCGGAGAAAACAGUGAAUUGGCCUCAACGAGCUCUCGCUAUUAGUUUGGAUUGGUGUUGACAAGGUGCUAGGUCAAUAACUGACCCCAUUCAGCCAGAUCAAAAGGCCAGUGACAAUACCAUGCCAGACAGAAACAUGAAACGACACAACGGUGUUUCUUGUUUAAUUUUGAGCACACUGAUGCAUUUUUAUGUGUUUUCAGCAUAUGUUCAUGGUGCAGGGCUCUGUUAAUGCGACAGUGUUGGCCCGACAUGUGCGAUCGACGGCUUCGUCGGUAGCCACCUGCCGGCCGCGGAUCGCGGAGUUCUUAGAGGGUUCCUACAAAACCAUUCCUCGUUGGAAACCAGGAAAGCUAGAAGCAUGCUGGUACGGUCAAAACACGCGCAACUAACGUCCAUUACGCUAGCGAAACUAUGGGCGUGAUUACACUACACACCAAGGCGCUGUCCCCCAAAAUCCUAUGGGGCUCACAUCCCCCCCCCUCCCCCUCCCCCGCCGCUAUCGGAGCGAGAGUUAAUACGGUUAAUGGGCUUCCUGAAUUUGUGAAGACUUCGAGCACAAAAAUGCACGGUGCGCUGGUAAAUUGACGCACCAAGAACUGUGGUCACUAAGCAAGGGGCGCCAGCACAUCUGAUGCACAUUGAAAUUUGAAGCCAUGAUCCGGAACAAUGCAUUCGGUACGAACGCUUGUCUGUGAGAACCCUGAAAAUAGAUUUUUGGAUGGCCACAAAUGCAGUUUUUGACACCGCUCUGUGGUGCUCAAUAUUUGAUCGGACACGUUGCACCACCACAUCUCUGUGAUGUAUUGCAAACGGUGUUCUAUUAAUUAUUUUGUAUUUGGUUUGAACAAUAUAUUGUCAAGCG